RNAcentral lists this ribosomal RNA (777 nucleotides) under Triticum aestivum (bread wheat). Its description in RNAcentral is "partial small subunit ribosomal RNA". The record is from RNAcentral. Lineage: Eukaryota; Viridiplantae; Streptophyta; Magnoliopsida; Poales; Poaceae.
AUGGCGGAGUACGGAGAGGAGGACCUCGCCGUCGCGGCCGCCAAGAUUCUGCUCAGCCUCCGGAGCAGGAAUCUCGUGCGGUGGCCGGAGUGGAUCGCCCGGCCGUCCGACGGUCUCCAGCGGCCAGAGGAGGAGGAGGAGGCCGAGCUGCCGCCGAUCCCGGAGGGAUGGCCGAAGCGGCCGCGGUCGCGGCUGCGUGCGCGGGCGGAAGGAACCGCGUGGCCUCUGUCGCUGAAGAGCCCCUUGGCGCGGCCGGGGCGCCCCGUUCUCGGCGGAUCCGGCGCGUGUUCCGGCGAGGAGGAGGAGAGGGCGUGGUCUGCCCCGAAGGCGAAGCGCGUGUCUUUCACCGCGCGGAGGCCGGAGGUACCGCCGCACUACUUCUCGUGCUCGGCAGCCGGAUCCGGCCCUUCCACCAGCGGCGCCGACCGCGCGCGGUCGCGGCGACGGGCGCGCCUGAGCGAGAAGGCGAGUGCCGCCAGGGCAAAGUCGAGCCCGGAGACGCCCUUCGACUUCGCCAACGCCGCCGGAUCAGGAGCGUCCUCGAGCGGCGACGAAGCGGCGCGGCCGACGGCGGCGCAGGGGCCUGGCGGAGGCGGAGGGCCCUCGAGCGGCAUCGAGGGGCCCGGCUCGCCGGCGAAGCGCUCGCGGACGGACCUCGCCGCCGGCGAAGCUGCGGCGGCCGCGGCUAAAGUGGAGGAGCAGAAGAUCAAGGAGGAUUACCGGGACGAGAAGGGCCACCUGCUGUUCGACCUCAACGAAGCUUGGGGUGGCAACUAA